AGUAGGGUGGCCGAGGCACAGGCGAUAAAUUGUAAAUUUAUUUACGGAAUUUUCUUCCUUCUACUA
This 66-nucleotide transfer RNA is filed under the name Melanotus cribricollis. Its description in RNAcentral is "tRNA-Tyr". Lineage: Eukaryota; Metazoa; Arthropoda; Insecta; Coleoptera; Elateridae. The record is from RNAcentral.